UAAGUAAGUGGUGGAAAUUAAACCAAAUGGGAUAUCUUUAGUAAUUGCGAAUGAACAAGGAUAUGCUUAGCUUGACAAAUGGAGCUAUUGGCUUUGAAUUGUAUUGUGGAAAUGUAUUACCAACAGAGGUGCAGGUGCCAGCCUAUUGAAAUAAAGCGUCAAUGAGGGUGAGAAUCCUGUUUGUCAUGUGCAGCCCUUUGUGCACGGUGUACAUUUGCUGAGUCACACUCCUUGGCAUUGGAAUGCAAAGUGGGUGGUAAGUUUCAUGUAAAGGUAAACAUGCAAUUGAGACUGAUAGCACACAAGUACCAUGAGGGAAAUAUGAAAAGGACUUUGAAAAGAGAAUUAAAUGAGUUUGUAUUUGCUGAACACAAAGUAAACAGACUUGAUUUGCUUGGUGGGAGUGUUGCACUUGCUUGACAAGAGCUUUGGGCUGUGGGUGUAAUGAUUCUUUCUUUGCAUGCCAGUUUCUAUUUGUACAUCUGAUUACCUUUGCACAUGAAUGAUAAGUCUCCUGUGGGGGGUGGAUUGCAUGUGCAUGUAAUGAUUUGUGUUUUGAUAAAUGCGUCUGGUGUAUGUGUGUGUUCCUGUGCUUGGGGAUGCUUCCUUCCUUGGACUUACAAGCCCUGACACACACAUGCUGGCAAAAUGCUUCUGCUUGACCCG
RNAcentral lists this ribosomal RNA (666 nucleotides) under Alexandrium tamarense. Its description in RNAcentral is "eukaryotic LSU rRNA". It matches the Rfam family "Eukaryotic large subunit ribosomal RNA", at positions 43 to 651 of the family's 3401-position model. Lineage: Eukaryota; Dinophyceae; Gonyaulacales; Pyrocystaceae. The record is from RNAcentral.